This is a long non-coding RNA of Ostrea edulis (European flat oyster), 2570 nucleotides long. RefSeq lists it as uncharacterized. Lineage: Eukaryota; Metazoa; Mollusca; Bivalvia; Ostreida; Ostreidae. The transcript is spliced from 2 exons. The record is from RefSeq and is a predicted model, not a curated record.
AGUCAGUGUAUGUGAAGGACAUCGUGAACAAGGCAUAAUAAUCCUUGUUUGUCCUAAGACUUCAUUAUCUUCCUUUGUGAAUAAUUGCAUUCAAUUCAUGAAAAAGCGGCCACCGUCCCUGCUUCCCCGAAUCCCAUACACAUACCAAGCAAGCGGAGCAAUCUGUAGUUAAGAUGACCUCACAAACAACAGGCAAUAAACAGACCAAACAACACCGAAGCGAAUGACAGCCUGAAUCCUCACAUCACAACGACCACGCACUCCCGGGAGCACUGACCACAAAAUCCCAACAACAUCACUACACAGUGCGUGUACAGUCAGUGUAUGUGAAGGACAUCGUGAACCAGGCAUAAUAAUCCUUGUUUGUCCCAAGACUUCAUUAUCUUCCUUUGUGAAUAAUUGCAUUUAAUUCAUGUAAAAUCGGCCUCCGUCCCCCUGCUUGCCCCGAAUCCCAUAUCCAUACCAAGCAAGCGGAGCAAUCUGUAGUUAAGAUGACCACACAAACAACAGACAAUUAACAGACCAAACAACACCGAAGCGAAUGACAGCCUGAAUCCUCACAUCACAACGACCACGGACUCCAGAGAGCGCUGACCACAAAACCCCCAACAACAUCACUACACAGGUAAUAAGCCUACCUAUAUUCAAACACCGACCACACAGAAAACACGCAUUCCAUUAAAAUCUGUGUAUUUUUAUGGGUCAAUACUAGUUGCGUGUGAAUAUUGUUUACAUUCAGUUGAUAUAAAGGUCAAGUGUGAAUAAGGCAUAAUAAUCCUUGUAUGCCCUCGAUGUUAAAGGUCUUUAUUUUUCAGUGCGUCUACAGUCAGUGUAUGUGAAGGACAUCAGUGAACAAGGAAUAAUAAUCCUUGUUUGUCCUAAAACUUCAUUAUGUUUCUUUGUGAAUAGUUACAUUCAAUUCAUGAAAAAGCGGCCAACAGCCUGCCUCUACUGAAACAAACACCGACCACAAAGAAAACACGCAAUCAACCAAAUUCUGUGUAUUUUCAUGGGUGAAUACUAGUUGCGUGUGGAUAUUGUUUACAUUCAGUUGAUAUAAAGGGCAAUUGUGAACAAGGCAUAAUAAUCCUUGUAUGUCGUUGAUGAUUGGCCUCUUUAUUUCUUUUAUUUCCAUGUGUUAAUACUAGUUAGAUACAUUUUCAAAUGUAAGAAUGCUAGUUGUAUUCAGUUCAUAGAAAGGUCAUGAGUGAAAAAGGCACAAUAAUCCUUGUAUGCCCUCUGUGUUGAAGGUCUUUAUUUUUCAGUGCGUGUACAGUCAGUGUAUGUGAAGGACAUUGUGAACAAGGCAUAAUAAUCCUUGUUUGUCCUAAGACUUCAUUAUCUUCCUGUGUGAAUAAUUGUAUUCAAUUCAUGAAAAAGCGGCCACCGUCCCUGCUUGCCCAGAAUCCCAUAUCCCUACGAAGCAAGCGGAGCAAUCUGUAGUUAAGAUGAUCAUUCAAACAACAGGCAAUAGACAGACCAAACACCGAAGCGAAUGACAGCCUGAGUCCUCACAUAAAAAACGACCACGGACUCCCGAAAUAAAAUUUAUUUAUUUUUUUUUUUUUUUUUUUCAAAGUAUGCAAAAACAUUGUAAACUCUAACAAGUUAAAUGUUCUAUUGAAUUUUAUACUUUCAAAAUAUAAUUUUGCUGAAAUUGCAUUGCAAGUAAACUUUCAAUCAUAACAUUUCACCUGUUAUUGGCUGAGGAUUAUUUCCAGAUGUUUUAUAAGAAACAAUAUUUUUCAAUGAAACAUAUCUAGCAGAAAACACAAAAGUUAACUCCUCUAUGCCACUAUGCUAUACAAGUACCAGAUAUAUUGAUUCUACAUUUAGAUUGGUUGUCAUGGGAAUACCACUAUUGGAUAUCUUUGACAGGAAAAUAAUGUGAUGGUUUUGAUCGAUUGAUUCAGGUUUUCCGCCGUUUGGCAAUAUUUCAGCCAUUUUACGACGGGAUGGUUUUGAAAAAAAAAAUCAACAUCAUUAACAUAUUUUAAGUUUAUUAAUACAUUUCUGAAUGUAUUUUCACAAUCUAAAUGGAACAAGGGUAGGAAGACAAUCUGGGCAGAUUUCACUUAUCCUAAAGGAAUCCAACUAAAACGUUUUACCGGACAUAAAUAUUUAUUUUUUUUAAAAAAAAUCUGCAGCCCCUGAUGAAACCAUUAAACUCCCAUAACAUAUAUCCACUGGUCAACAGCCCUCCUCGGUUAAACAGUCGACAUACACAGGAAACACUCGCGGAUACCCGACGGAAACGUGUUUAAUUUCAUGUGUGUGAAUACCAGUUUCAUUUCCCUAUUUGUGACUGUUAGUUACAUUGAGUUUAUUCCUUGUAUGUCCUUGGUGGUGGACCUAUUGCUGUUGAAUUUCCUGUGUGCGAGUACUCCUUACAUUCAGUUUAUAUGAAAGACAUCAGUGAGGAAGGCAUAAUACUUGUAUUUGUAUGUGUUUCCUUGUGAACGAAAGAUUGUUUACUAUGCACUACAAGAAACAAAUAACAGAUCUCGUUGUCUCCCUUGCACAGUUGUUUUUAAUAUUGAUUUGUUUUUGGAAAUAAAAAGAAAAUUGCA